Molecule: ribosomal RNA, 546 nt
Filed under: uncultured bacterium
Lineage: Bacteria
Description: bacterial SSU rRNA
Rfam family: Bacterial small subunit ribosomal RNA
Source: RNAcentral
UAGGGAAUUUUUCACAAUGAGCGAAAGCUUGAUGGAGCAAUGCCGCGUGAACGAUGAAGGUCUUUAAGAUUGUAAAGUUCUUUUAUUUGGGAAGAAUGACUUUAGCAGGUAAUGGCUAGAGUUUGACUGUACCAUUUUGAAUAAGUGACGACUAACUAUGUGCCAGCAGUCGCGGUAAUACAUAGGUCGCAAGCGUUAUCCGGAUUUAUUGGGCGUAAAGCAAGCGCAGGCGGAUUGAAAAGUCUGGUGUUAAAGGCAGCUGCUUAACAGUUGUAUGCAUUGGAAACUAUUAAUCUAGAGUGUGGUAGGGAGUUUUGGAAUUUCAUGUGGAGCGGUGAAAUGCGUAGAUAUAUGAAGGAACACCAGUGGCGAAGGCGAAAACUUAGGCCAUUACUGACGCUUAGGCUUGAAAGUGUGGGGAGCAAAUAGGAUUAGAUACCCCAGUAGUCCACACCGUAACGAUAGAUACUAGCUGUCGGGGCGAUCCCCUCGGUAGUGAAGUUAACACAUUAAGUAUCUCGCCUGGGUAGUACAUUCGCAAGAAUG